AAGGCCUCUCUCCUUCACAGUGACUCCGUUCACAUGCUCCCGUCUUGUCAUCAAGCCCUGUUCAUCUCUCACCAUCUCUCACCUGGACCAUUGCCAGUUUCUGAGCUGCCUGCUCUUGAAUACCAGCUUCCUGAAAAUAUCACCAAAACGAUCUGGUCCUCAGACAAAGCAGAGUCUAUUGCUCACUGCAGUAACAGAGAGCUCCGUCUUCAGAGUCUUGGUAACAUUUCGCUGAGAGGACAACCCAAUCACACUGUUUAGGAGAUUUUGGAUUCUGACUAAGGUGAGUCUGACAAUGUGGGGUCUUGGCAAAUAAUCAUGAUGAAAUAGUUUAAGAUGAGAAGACACAGCAAAGUAAGGAUUUUGAGGCAAAGGGUUCAAACAAUCUUAGAGUAUAAACUGCUUUUUAUUGAUGUAACUCUGAAGAUGUUCCUGGAGUAAAAAAAGGAAGUUAUUUGCAAAUUUUACCUCCAGGGUGAGAGCUUCUGGAAUAAGAAAUUUCUGCUGAUGAAGAUCGUAAACUGUGUGGGUGUAGCUGGUUUUGCCUGUCACCUCCAUGCCUCCUAUCUCAAACUCUUCCACUUCGUUAGCAACAGCAACAAUAAUAACAAUAGUUACAAUAUGAGUAGCAGCAAAUAUUUAGCUCUCAUUAAAUGCCAAGCACUGUCCUAAGCAUUUUACAAAUACUGUCUCAUUAAAGUUCGCCAUAAUCCUAUGGUAUUGGCACUAUUUUUGUCCACAUUAUACAAAUGUAAACACUGAAGCAGCUUAGAGAGGACAAGUUAUUUGACCAAGUCACACAGUACCUUCCCACUGUCAGAGUUCUAUCAGAAAUGAAAAUUUGAUAAUUGCACACUCUUGCAUAAACUUUUUCAAAGAUUCCCUGUUGCCUAAAACAUAAAAAUCUUGAUUUCUUCAAAUGGUACACAGAACACUCCAUGAUCUGGCCUCAGUCCCACCUCUCCAGUCUUCUUUAUUGUAUAGGUUGCUCUACCCAUUCCUGGACCACACAUGAUGCUGUUUCACGUCUUCAUGAAUCGUGCUCAUUUGGAGUUUUUACUCCUGGUAUCUACUCAUCAUCCAUCUAAUAAAACAGUAGCCUGGGGAAACAGUCUCUUCCCUCACUUUCAGCCUGUUUGCAUUGUCCCCACUUAAUGUGAACUGAGAGUAAGAAGGUGCUGGGAUUGUUGCACUCUCUUACAGGAAGCAGGAGAAUUAACCAACACUGAGGAGAAAUGGGGAGAUACAAACUAUCUCAUGAGGCUGUCCUGCAAGCCCUGGAGCAAGCUGAGCCCAAGCCUGUUCAUUUAUAUCAUCCAAUACAUUUGAUUGUUUAAGGGAGAGUGAUUUUUUUUUUAAGCAUUUCCAUCGGAAAAGGUCUUCAUUCACACUGCAGUCUGUUAGAACAUAUUUCUUCAGGCUUUCAGACUAGAACACCCUCACCUUUCAACAUUCAGCUCAGAUAUCACCACCUCCAUGAGGUUUUUUUGUUUUUGUUUUUGUUUUUGAGACAGUCUCGCUCCAUCACCUAGGCUGGAGUGCAGUGGUGCAAUCUUGGCUCACUGGAACUUCUGCCUCCAGAGUUCAAGAGAUUCUCCUGCCUCAGCCUCCUGAGUAGCUGGGAUUACAGGCGCCCACCAUCACGCCUGUAUAAUUUUUGUAUUUGUGCCUGGAGCAAAAAUGUGUCCAGAAUUGGUGGGUUGUUGGUCUCGCUGACCUCAAGAACGGAGCCGUGGACCCUCGCGGUAAGUGUUGUGUCCCGAGUUUGUUCCUUCUGAUGUUCAGAUGUGUCCAGAGUUUCUUCCUUCUGGGGGGUUGCUGGUCUUGCUGACUUCAGGAGUGAAGCUGCAGACCUUCGCAGUGAGUGGGCGGCGCAUCUGGAGUUGUUCGUUCCUUCCAGUGGGUUCGUGGUCUCACUGGCCUCAGGAGUGAAACUGCAGACCUUUGCUGUGAGUGUUACAGUUCAUAAAGGUGGCACGUCCAGAGUUGUUCGU
This 1994-nucleotide long non-coding RNA is filed under the name Homo sapiens (human). RNAcentral describes it as "non-protein coding lnc-GCNT1-1:2". The record is from RNAcentral. Lineage: Eukaryota; Metazoa; Chordata; Mammalia; Primates; Hominidae.